RNAcentral lists this transfer RNA (71 nucleotides) under Marmota monax (woodchuck). RNAcentral's name for it is "tRNA.Ala". Lineage: Eukaryota; Metazoa; Chordata; Mammalia; Rodentia; Sciuridae. The record is from RNAcentral.
GGGGCUGUAGCUCAGUGGUAGAGCGCUUGCCUAGCAUGUGUGGGGAGCACUGGGCUCGAUUUUCAGCACCA